GAUGAACGCUGGCGGCGUGCCUAAUACAUGCAAGUCGAGCGAACAGAUGAGGAGCUUGCUCCUCUGAUGUUAGCGGCGGACGGGUGAGUAACACGUGGAUAACCUACCUAUAAGACUGGGAUAACUUCGGGAAACCGGAGCUAAUACCGGAUAACAUGUUGAACCGCAUGGUUCAACAGUGAAAGACGGUCUUGCUGUCACUUAUAGAUGGAUCCGCGCCGCAUUAGCUAGUUGGUAAGGUAACGGCUUACCAAGGCAACGAUGCGUAGCCGACCUGAGAGGGUGAUCGGCCACACUGGAACUGAGACACGGUCCAGACUCCUACGGGAGGCAGCAGUAGGGAAUCUUCCGCAAUGGGCGAAAGCCUGACGGAGCAACGCCGCGUGAGUGAAGAAGGUCUUCGGAUCGUAAAACUCUGUUAUUAGGGAAGAACAAAUGUGUAAGUAACUAUGCACGUCUUGACGGUACCUAAUCAGAAAGCCACGGCUAACUACGUG
This 497-nucleotide ribosomal RNA is filed under the name uncultured bacterium. RNAcentral's name for it is "partial 16S ribosomal RNA". It matches the Rfam family "Bacterial small subunit ribosomal RNA", at positions 28 to 507 of the family's 1533-position model. The record is from RNAcentral.